Molecule: ribosomal RNA, 377 nt
Filed under: uncultured bacterium
Lineage: Bacteria
Description: bacterial SSU rRNA
Rfam family: Bacterial small subunit ribosomal RNA
Source: RNAcentral
AUACGUAGGUGGCGAGCGUUGUCCGGAAUUACUGGGUGUAAAGGGCGUGUAGGCAGGGCGUCAAGUCAGGUGUGAAAUUCCGAGGCUUAACUUCGGGUGUGCAUCUGAAACUGAUGUUCUUGAGUGUCGGAGAGGAAAGUGGAAUUCCCAGUGUAGCGGUGAAAUGCGUAGAGAUUGGGAGGAACACCAGUGGCGAAGGCGGCUUUCUGGACGAUAACUGACGCUGAGGCGCGAAAGCGUGGGUAGCAAACAGGAUUAGAUACCCUGGUAGUCCACGCCGUAAACGAUGGAUACUAGGUGUAGGAGGUAUCGACCCCUUCUGUGCCGGAGUUAACACAAUAAGUACCCCGCCUGGGGAGUACGUGCGCAAGCAUGAA